RNAcentral lists this transfer RNA (74 nucleotides) under Candidatus Tremblayella princeps. RNAcentral's name for it is "Candidatus Tremblaya princeps tRNA-Undet". It matches the Rfam family "tRNA". From Rfam's summary of the family: Transfer RNA (tRNA) molecules are approximately 80 nucleotides in length. Their secondary structure includes four short double-helical elements and three loops (D, anti-codon, and T loops). Lineage: Bacteria; Pseudomonadati; Pseudomonadota; Betaproteobacteria. The record is from RNAcentral.
GCACCUGUAACUCAAUUUGGUGAGAGUUUUACCUCCGGUGGUAAAUGUUGCUGGUUCGAGUCCAGUCAGGUGUG